Molecule: transfer RNA, 65 nt
Filed under: Bullanga florida
Lineage: Eukaryota; Metazoa; Arthropoda; Insecta; Neuroptera; Myrmeleontidae
Description: tRNA-Thr
Rfam family: tRNA
About the family: Transfer RNA (tRNA) molecules are approximately 80 nucleotides in length. Their secondary structure includes four short double-helical elements and three loops (D, anti-codon, and T loops). Further hydrogen bonds mediate the characteristic L-shaped molecular structure. tRNAs have two regions of fundamental functional importance: the anti-codon, which is responsible for specific mRNA codon recognition, and the 3' end, to which the tRNAs corresponding amino acid is attached (by aminoacyl-tRNA synthetases). tRNAs cope with the degeneracy of the genetic code in two manners: having more than one tRNA (with a specific anti-codon) for a particular amino acid; and 'wobble' base-pairing, i.e. permitting non-standard base-pairing at the 3rd anti-codon position.
Source: RNAcentral
GUUUUAAUAGUUUAAUUAAAACAUUGGUCUUGUAUACCAAAAAUAAAUUUUUAAUUUUUAAAACU